GCUGGGUGUGGUGGCGUGCACCUGUAGUCCCAGCUACUCAGGAGGCUGAGGCAGGAGAAUUGUUUUAACCCGGGAGGCAGAGGCUGCAGUGAGCUGAGAUUGCACCACUGCACUCCAGCCUGGGUGACAGAGUAAGACUCUGUCUCAA
Molecule: small RNA, 148 nt
Filed under: Macaca mulatta (Rhesus monkey)
Lineage: Eukaryota; Metazoa; Chordata; Mammalia; Primates; Cercopithecidae
Description: Metazoan signal recognition particle RNA (ENSMMUG00000055564.1)
Source: Rfam by way of RNAcentral